AUUGAACGCUGGCGGCAGGCUUAACACAUGCAAGUCGAGCGGGGUGAUGGUGCUUGCACUAUCACUUAGCGGCGGACGGGUGAGUAAUGUUUAGGAAUCUGCCUAUUAGUGGGGGACAACAUCUCGAAAGGGAUGCUAAUACCGCAUACGUCCUACGGGAGAAAGCAGGGGAUCACUUGUGACCUUGCGCUAAUAGAUGAGCCUAAGUCGGAUUAGCUAGUUGGUGGGGUAAAGGCCUACCAAGGCGACGAUCUGUAGCGGGUCUGAGAGGAUGAUCCGCCACACUGGGACUGAGACACGGCCCAGACUCCUACGGGAGGCGGCAGUGGGGAAUAUUGGACAAUGGGGGGAACCCUGAUCCAGCCAUGCCGCGUGUGUGAAGAAGGCCUUAUGGUUGUAAAGCACUUUAAGCGAGGAGGAGGCUCUUUUGGUUAAUACCCAAGAUGAGUGGACGUUACUCGCAGAAUAAGCACCGGCUAACUCUGUGCCAGCCGCCGCCGUAA
RNAcentral lists this ribosomal RNA (503 nucleotides) under uncultured bacterium. Its description in RNAcentral is "partial 16S ribosomal RNA". It matches the Rfam family "Bacterial small subunit ribosomal RNA", at positions 30 to 523 of the family's 1533-position model. The record is from RNAcentral.